This 1014-nucleotide long non-coding RNA is filed under the name Gallus gallus (chicken). Its description in RNAcentral is "long non-coding RNA NONGGAT005602". The record is from RNAcentral. Lineage: Eukaryota; Metazoa; Chordata; Aves; Galliformes; Phasianidae.
GCCACAUCCAGGCUGGAGGGAGGCGAUGGGGCAGGAGGUUCUCCACGCCCACCCCACCACAAUGUGGCGCAGAGGGAUGGGUCCCGCAGCACCUGUCCUACACUGCAGUCCUUGCAGGCACGACUUCCCACCCACAGCAUCCCGAAGCUUCCUGGAGGAAGAGAUUACAGAAGAGGAUUAGAUAUAAAUCUCCGCUGCUGCAGUAAAUCACCGUUUUCGCUGCUGCCAACUCUGCCAAAAGGAGAGGCAGCGCUGAGCGGUGCUCCCCGAGGAGCGUGGCAGCUCUGCUGACCCCAAUUAUUUCAGCACGAUAAAUCACCGCCUCUCCCUGCUCUGCCGUAAAGCACUGCUGGUGUUAAACACCAGGCAGGUGAGGGAGGAAAUGGUGCUGAGUUUGCAGCAGAGGUGAAUGCAUCCUCAAUGGGAGGGAGAACCAAGAGGAGAAGUGAUGCUGCGCCGCCACUCAAUAGAGGUUUUUGGGUGAACGAUGCUUGCCAUUCCGUUCAGCUGCUGGUAAUAGACCAGUGCCUGUGCAGUGCUGCAGAAAACACUCUAAGAAAUGCAAUGGAAAUCUUGCGUGGAGGAACAGACUGUCAAGCAGCUCUGCUGGGAAUGCCAGAAGGCUUUCUUGCCUUCACACAAUCAGCUAAUAGCUUUGCUGACAGAUAUUUAUCAGCCUGAGCACGCUUUCCCUGAGCUUGGAAAAAUAGAAGCCUACUCCUGGCCCCAAUAAAACUCAGCCUGAUUCCCCAGAACGAGCCGCCCGUGUAUCAGUCGUCCUCCUGGAGUCGUUAGGAGCAAAAUGGCCAAAGCAGGACGUCAAGCCACCCAAGGACGUUGGGGGCAUUCUUUCCAGUGCUAAGGGGAAGGAAGAUGGAUGGACCCUCCCAGCAAACACCGGGCUCAGCCCUUUCCGAUUCCCGGUUCUGAGAAGGGAAAUUUUGCAUUGAAGGCAGUGAUUUUUGUACAUCUUUGGAGCGUGGCAGGUUUGUAAAAGCUCUCUGUGUAUAUGAG